This 468-nucleotide ribosomal RNA is filed under the name uncultured bacterium. RNAcentral's name for it is "bacterial SSU rRNA". It matches the Rfam family "Bacterial small subunit ribosomal RNA", at positions 329 to 794 of the family's 1533-position model. The record is from RNAcentral.
CCCCAGACUCCUACGGGAGGCAGCAGUGAGGAAUAUUGGUCAAUGGGCGGAAGCCUGAACCAGCCAAGUCGCGUGAGGGAAUAAGGCCCUACGGGUCGUAAACCUCUUUUGCCGGGGAGCAAGGGCGGGGACGUGUCCCGGCCCGGAGAGUACCCGGAGAAAAAGCAUCGGCUAACUCCGUGCCGGCAGCCGCGGUAAUACGGAGGAUGCGAGCGUUAUCCGGAUUUAUUGGGUUUAAAGGGUGCGCAGGCGGAGGUGCAAGUCGGCGGUCAAAUUGCGGGGCUCAACCUCGUCGAGCCGUUGAAACUGGGUGCCUUGAGUGGGCGAGAAGUACGCGGAAUGCGUGGUGUAGCGGUGAAAUGCAUAGAUAUCGCGCAGAACUCCGAUUGCGAAGGCAGCAUGCCGGCUCCACACUGACGCUGAGGCACGAAAGCGUGGGUAUCGAACAGGAUUAGAUACCCGGGUAAG